GGCUUAACACAUGCAAGUCGAGGGGCAGCAUGACCUAGCAAUAGGUUGAUGGCGACCGGCGCACGGGUGAGUAACACGUAUCCAACCUACCGGUUAUUCCGGGAUAGCCUUUCGAAAGAAAGAUUAAUACCGGAUAGUAUAACGAGAAGGCAUCUUCUUGUUAUUAAAGAAUUUCGAUAACCGAUGGGGAUGCGUUCCAUUAGUUUGUUGGCGGGGUAACGGCCCACCAAGACAUCGAUGGAUAGGGGUUCUGAGAGGAAGGUCCCCCACAUUGGAACUGAGACACGGUCCAAACUCCUACGGGAGGCAGCAGUGAGGAAUAUUGGUCAAUGGACGAGAGUCUGAACCAGCCAAGUAGCGUGAAGGAUGACUGCCCUAUGGGUUGUAAACUUCUUUUAUAUGGGAAUAAAGUGAGCCACGUGUGGCUUUUUGUAUGUACCAUACGAAUAAGGAUCGGCUAACUCCGUGCCAGCAGCCGCGGUAAUACGGAGGAUCCGAGCGUUAUCCGGAUUUAUUGGGUUUAAAGGGAGCGUAGGCGGACUAUUAAGUCAGCUGUGAAAGUUUGCGGCUCAACCGUAAAAUUGCAGUUGAUACUGGUCGUCUUGAGUGCAGUAGAGGUAGGCGGAAUUCGUGGUGUAGCGGUGAAAUGCUUAGAUAUCACGAAGAACUCCGAUUGCGAAGGCAGCUUAC
Molecule: ribosomal RNA, 690 nt
Filed under: uncultured Bacteroidales bacterium
Lineage: Bacteria; Pseudomonadati; Bacteroidota; Bacteroidia; Bacteroidales
Description: bacterial SSU rRNA
Rfam family: Bacterial small subunit ribosomal RNA
Source: RNAcentral